RNAcentral lists this ribosomal RNA (343 nucleotides) under uncultured bacterium. RNAcentral describes it as "bacterial SSU rRNA". It matches the Rfam family "Bacterial small subunit ribosomal RNA", at positions 30 to 365 of the family's 1533-position model. The record is from RNAcentral.
AUUGAACGCUGGCGGCAGGCCUAACACAUGCAAGUCGAACGGUAACAGGAAGAAGCUUGCUUCUUUGCUGACGAGUGGCGGACGGGUGAGUAAUGUCUGGGAAACUGCCUGAUGGAGGGGGAUAACUACUGGAAACGGUAGCUAAUACCGCAUAACGUCGCAAGCCAAAAGAGGGGGACCUUUCGGGGCCUCUUGCCAUCGGAUGUGCCCAGAUGGGAUUAGCUAGUAGGUGGGGUAACGGCUCACCUAGGCGACGAUCCCUAGCUGGUCUGAGAGGAUGACCAGCCACACUGGAACUGAGACACGGUCCAGACUCCUACGGGAGGCAGCAGUGGGGAAUAUU